Molecule: ribosomal RNA, 2990 nt
Filed under: Salmonella enterica subsp. enterica
Lineage: Bacteria; Pseudomonadati; Pseudomonadota; Gammaproteobacteria; Enterobacterales; Enterobacteriaceae
Description: bacterial LSU rRNA
Rfam family: Bacterial large subunit ribosomal RNA
Source: RNAcentral
UUAAGCGACUAAGCGUACACGGUGGAUGCCCUGGCAGUCAGAGGCGAUGAAGGGCGUGCUAAUCUGCGAUAAGCGCCGGUAAGGUGAUAUGAACCGUUAUAACCGGCGAUACCCGAAUGGGGAAACCCAGUGUGAUUCGUCACACUAUCAUUAACUGAAUCCAUAGGUUAAUGAGGCGAACCGGGGGAACUGAAACAUCUAAGUACCCCGAGGAAAAGAAAUCAACCGAGAUUCCCCCAGUAGCGGCGAGCGAACGGGGAGGAGCCCAGAGCCUGAAUCAGCAUGUGUGUUAGUGGAAGCGUCUGGAAAGGUGCGCGAUACAGGGUGACAGCCCCGUACACAAAAGCGCAUGUGCUGUGAGCUCGAUGAGUAGGGCGGGACACGUGGUAUCCUGUCUGAAUAUGGGGGGACCAUCCUCCAAGGCUAAAUACUCCUGACUGACCGAUAGUGAACCAGUACCGUGAGGGAAAGGCGAAAAGAACCCCGGCGAGGGGAGUGAAAAAGAACCUGAAACCGUGUACGUACAAGCAGUGGGAGCACAGGUUUACCUGUGUGACUGCGUACCUUUUGUAUAAUGGGUCAGCGACUUAUAUUCUGUAGCAAGGUUAACCGUAUAGGGGAGCCGGAGGGAAACCGAGUCUUAACCGGGCGUUAAGUUGCAGGGUAUAGACCCGAAACCCGGUGAUCUAGCCAUGGGCAGGUUGAAGGUUGGGUAACACUAACUGGAGGACCGAACCGACUAAUGUUGAAAAAUUAGCGGAUGACCUGUGGCUGGGGGUGAAAGGCCAAUCAAACCGGGAGAUAGCUGGUUCUCCCCGAAAGCUAUUUAGGUAGCGCCUCGUGAAUUCAUCUCCGGGGGUAGAGCACUGUUUCGGCUAGGGGGCCAUCCCGGCUUACCAACCCGAUGCAAACUGCGAAUACCGGAGAAUGUUAUCACGGGAGACACACGGCGGGUGCUAACGUCCGUCGUGAAGAGGGAAACAACCCAGACCGCCAGCUAAGGUCCCAAAGUCAUGGUUAAGUGGGAAACGAUGUGGGAAGGCCCAGACAGCCAGGAUGUUGGCUUAGAAGCAGCCAUCAUUUAAAGAAAGCGUAAUAGCUCACUGGUCGAGUCGGCCUGCGCGGAAGAUGUAACGGGGCUAAACCAUGCACCGAAGCUGCGGCAGCGAACGUAUCACCCAAGACAACUUUACGGAGUUGACGAUUGACGGAGCGAAGCGACGUCAAAGCGUUCAUUAAAGUCGAGUUGGCUUAGGGAUACGUUCGUUGGGUAGGGGAGCGUUCUGUAAGCCUGUGAAGGUGUGUCGUGAGGCAUGCUGGAGGUAUCAGAAGUGCGAAUGCUGACAUAAGUAACGAUAAAGCGGGUGAAAAGCCCGCUCGCCGGAAGACCAAGGGUUCCUGUCCAACGUUAAUCGGGGCAGGGUGAGUCGACCCCUAAGGCGAGGCCGAAAGGCGUAGUCGAUGGGAAACGGGUUAAUAUUCCCGUACUUGGUGUUACUGCGAAGGGGGACGGAGAAGGCUAUGUUGGCCGGGCGACGGUUGUCCCGGUUUAAGCGUGUAGGUGUGUGUUCCAGGUAAAUCCGGUUCACUUUAACACUGAGGCGUGACGACGAGGCACUACGGUGCUGAAGCAACAAAUGCCCUGCUUCCAGGAAAAGCCUCUAAGCAUCAGGUAACACGAAAUCGUACCCCAAACCGACACAGGUGGUCAGGUAGAGAAUACCAAGGCGCUUGAGAGAACUCGGGUGAAGGAACUAGGCAAAAUGGUGCCGUAACUUCGGGAGAAGGCACGCUGACACGUAGGUGAAGUGAUUUACUCAUGGAGCUGAAGUCAGUCGAAGAUACCAGCUGGCUGCAACUGUUUAUUAAAAACACAGCACUGUGCAAACACGAAAGUGGACGUAUACGGUGUGACGCCUGCCCGGUGCCGGAAGGUUAAUUGAUGGGGUCAGCGUAAGCGAAGCUCCUGAUCGAAGCCCCGGUAAACGGCGGCCGUAACUAUAACGGUCCUAAGGUAGCGAAAUUCCUUGUCGGGUAAGUUCCGACCUGCACGAAUGGCGUAAUGAUGGCCAGGCUGUCUCCACCCGAGACUCAGUGAAAUUGAACUCGCUGUGAAGAUGCAGUGUACCCGCGGCAAGACGGAAAGACCCCGUGAACCUUUACUAUAGCUUUGACACUGAACAUUGAGCCUUGAUGUGUAGGAUAGGUGGGAGGCUUUGAAGUGUGGACGCCAGUCUGCAUGGAGCCGACCUUGAAAUACCACCCUUUAAUGUUUGAUGUUCUAACGUGGACCCGUAAUCCGGGUUGCGGACAGUGUCUGGUGGGUAGUUUGACUGGGGCGGUCUCCUCCUAAAGAGUAACGGAGGAGCACGAAGGUUGGCUAAUCCUGGUCGGACAUCAGGAGGUUAGUGCAAUGGCAUAAGCCAGCUUGACUGCGAGCGUGACGGCGCGAGCAGGUGCGAAAGCAGGUCAUAGUGAUCCGGUGGUUCUGAAUGGAAGGGCCAUCGCUCAACGGAUAAAAGGUACUCCGGGGAUAACAGGCUGAUACCGCCCAAGAGUUCAUAUCGACGGCGGUGUUUGGCACCUCGAUGUCGGCUCAUCACAUCCUGGGGCUGAAGUAGGUCCCAAGGGUAUGGCUGUUCGCCAUUUAAAGUGGUACGCGAGCUGGGUUUAGAACGUCGUGAGACAGUUCGGUCCCUAUCUGCCGUGGGCGCUGGAGAACUGAGGGGGGCUGCUCCUAGUACGAGAGGACCGGAGUGGACGCAUCACUGGUGUUCGGGUUGUCAUGCCAAUGGCACUGCCCGGUAGCUAAAUGCGGAAGAGAUAAGUGCUGAAAGCAUCUAAGCACGAAACUUGCCCCGAGAUGAGUUCUCCCUGAGACUUAGAGUCUCCUGAAGGAACGUUGAAGACGACGACGUUGAUAGGCCGGGUGUGUAAGCGCAGCGAUGCGUUGAGCUAACCGGUACUAAUGAACCGUGAGGCUUAACCUU